Molecule: non-coding RNA, 21 nt
Filed under: Arabidopsis thaliana (thale cress)
Lineage: Eukaryota; Viridiplantae; Streptophyta; Magnoliopsida; Brassicales; Brassicaceae
Source: RNAcentral
UACCUGGGACUGCCUAUCGAC